CAUAGUAAUUAGCUUUUUAAUUGAAAGCUUGUAUGAAUGGUUGAACAAGAGAAACACUGUCUCUUUAUUAAAGUUUGAAUUUAACUUUUAAGUGAAAAGGCUUAAAUUUGUCAAGUGGACGAUAAGACCCUAUAAAGCUUUAUAAAACACAAAAAAUUUUAGAAACUUGUUUAUAAAAGAAAAUUUUUUAGAAAUUAUUAUGUUGGGGCGACACAGAUAAAAAUAUGAGUAACUGUCAGUAGAAAGAACAAUUAUUUUUGAUUAACAAUGAUCCUUUGUAAAGAUUAAAAGAUUAAGUUACUUUAGGGAUAACAGCGUUAUUCUUUUUGAGAGUCCUUAUCAAAAAAAGAGUUUGCGACCUCGAUGUUGAAUCAUAAAAUCUUUACAGUGCAGCAGCUGUAAAAA
Molecule: ribosomal RNA, 405 nt
Filed under: Mithraculus forceps
Lineage: Eukaryota; Metazoa; Arthropoda; Malacostraca; Decapoda; Mithracidae
Description: partial 16S ribosomal RNA
Rfam family: Bacterial large subunit ribosomal RNA
Source: RNAcentral